RNAcentral lists this ribosomal RNA (253 nucleotides) under uncultured bacterium. RNAcentral describes it as "partial 16S ribosomal RNA". It matches the Rfam family "Bacterial small subunit ribosomal RNA", at positions 524 to 776 of the family's 1533-position model. The record is from RNAcentral.
UACAGAGGAUGCAAGCGUUAUCCGGAAUGAUUGGGCGUAAAGCGUCCGCAGGUGGUUUUGUAAGUCUGCUGUUAAAGCGUUAGGCUCAACCUAAUAAGGGCAGUGGAAACUAUGGGACUAGAGUAUGUUAGGGGUAGAGGGAAUUCCCAGUGUAGCGGUGAAAUGCGUAGAGAUUGGGAAGAACACCGGUGGCGAAAGCGCUCUGCUAGGACAAUACUGACACUGAGGGACGAAAGCUAGGGGAGCGAAUGGG